Castor canadensis (American beaver) is the source of this 164-nucleotide small nuclear RNA. Its record names the gene U1. It matches the Rfam family "U1 spliceosomal RNA". From Rfam's summary of the family: U1 is a small nuclear RNA (snRNA) component of the spliceosome (involved in pre-mRNA splicing). Its 5' end forms complementary base pairs with the 5' splice junction, thus defining the 5' donor site of an intron. There are significant differences in sequence and secondary structure between metazoan and yeast U1 snRNAs, the latter being much longer (568 nucleotides as compared to 164 nucleotides in human). NCBI's taxonomy places the organism in Eukaryota, Metazoa, Chordata, Mammalia, Rodentia, Castoridae. The record is from Ensembl.
AUACUUACCUGGCAGGGGAGAUACCAUGAUCACGAAGGUGAUUUUCCCAGGGCGAGGCUUAUCCAUUGCACUCCGGAUGUGCUGACCCCUGCGAUUUCCCCAAAUGUGGGAAACACGACUGCAUAAUUUGUGGUAGUGGGGGACUGUGUUCGCGCUCUCCCCUG